CCCAGUGACAGACGGCACCCGGAACUGACCCGGCAGCCCGACCUCCUCCGCCUCGGUCCAGGCUUGAUUUGGGGGUUAAAGGUGAUACUUUUUGAGAAAGGUAGUAAAACAUUAAUGGUGAGUAAAGUUCCUUCUCUUUUGCCCCUUAAGUUCACUGGGUGAUCCUGUUUGCUCUAUAAAGUGAACUGUAUUUGCCAAGGGUAAUUGGAACUCUGCGGCUCGAAUGACCUUGAUUUCCUCCUGCUGCUGGGCUGUUGUGUGGGGUGAGCGCUGCAAGGUGUUAUCACUCUCAAUCAAGUCCCCCUGGCAGGACAGAUGCUGCAGGUUUUGUGAGAAGCACUGGCCUCGAGACCGGAGUACCCAAAAUGUUAGCAAGACACGGACUUCCCAGGGCCUACCCCUCACCUGCAAACUCGCUGACGGUGUGCAUCACGCACGGAGGCGCCCAGUGACGUUGAAAGCUGGGGAGUCUGACUCACUUUCAUCCUUGAAGGCUCUGAUUUUGUUCCCAUCUCUUGCCCCCAGACUCUUGGGUGACCUUGGACCGUGCUUUGGAUUCGACAUCUAGAAAUGUGAUGUAUUUCUUUGUUCGUUGUCUUCCCACUGGAAUCGAAGCUCUGUGAGAGCAGGACCUUGGCCUGUUUGUUCAUUGCUGCCUUUCCAGGGCUUGGAGCAGAGCAGGUACUCAGUGCCUGUUUGUCAAAUGACCAGAUGGAGCCCAUCACCUGUCCUACACUUGUUGCCCAUUGCCUUUGAGGCACUUGCCAUCUCCCCGGGCAGACGUGGGUGUUAUGCAGCAGUCGUGAAAUAACGAGGCAACAGCGUAAGACCAACAGAGCCAGGAGCUAACACAUGGGCAAGGCGGGCACGCCUCGGCAGGAAGUCAUCGGGCUCGGACGCCCUCCUGGGCCAAGGGCUGAGGUCAGACCGGCGCCUCUGUGUCUGCUGGGCAAAGAUCAGCCCAGAAGGUCUCCUCUUCCCAACGCUGGGCAGGCUGCUGAGAGGUUGCCCAUCCGCGGAAGCACAUAGACAAGUGAGUAUCCAAGAUGGGAGCGUCUCCUGGGCCCAGGCAGGAGGCCGUUUGCUUACACGGGGCCUGAGGUUCGAAGGCAGAAAAGCACGCGCACCUCAGCAGUCACAGCUGGCGCCUGGGCGAAACUCUCUGUCUCCGCGCAGGCUGUUCACGGAGGCCUGGAGGCGCGGCGGAGACCUGGAGCAGCCAGCGGCCG
Molecule: non-coding RNA, 1229 nt
Organism: Leptonychotes weddellii (Weddell seal)
Lineage: Eukaryota; Metazoa; Chordata; Mammalia; Carnivora; Phocidae
Source: RefSeq, a predicted model, not a curated record